GACGAACCGUACGAACGUUAUUCGGAAUUACUGGGCUUAAAGGGUGCGUAGGCCGAUAGAUGUGUCAGGUGUGAAAUCUCGGGGCUCAACCCCGGAACUGCAUCCGAUACUGCCAACCUAGAGGGUCGGAGGGGAGUCUGGAAUUCUCGGUGUAGCAGUGAAAUGCGUAGAUAUCGAGAGGAACACUCGUGGCGAAGGCGAGACUCUGGACGACACCUGACGCUGAGAGACGAAGGCCAGGGUAGCGAAAAGG
This 253-nucleotide ribosomal RNA is filed under the name uncultured bacterium. RNAcentral's name for it is "partial 16S ribosomal RNA". It matches the Rfam family "Bacterial small subunit ribosomal RNA", at positions 524 to 776 of the family's 1533-position model. The record is from RNAcentral.